This 675-nucleotide long non-coding RNA is filed under the name Equus caballus (horse). RNAcentral's name for it is "lncRNA (ENSECAG00000058143.1)". The record is from RNAcentral. Lineage: Eukaryota; Metazoa; Chordata; Mammalia; Perissodactyla; Equidae.
GGAGGGGCCUCGUGAACACUCAAUUGCCAUAAGAGUGUGGAGGGCUGCGGUGUGCCCGGGUGCUUGGGAAUGCUGUAGCGUGGAUUCCUACUUGGUCUUCAGGGGGCCGGCACUGAAGAGAGGCUGACCAAAGAGAAAAUCAAAGUCGAGUCCUCAUGGAUGAAUAGGAGUUCCUGGGACGAGGUGAUGGUAGGAAAAGGUGUCAGUGAGCAGGUGAGGAGGGCAUUCCAGGUAGACGGUCCGCAGGAGCCAAGGUUCAAUGGCGACAGAGGAGAAACGCACCAUUUAGAACGUGUAAGCAUAAAGUGAGAAGAAAGGGGAAGUCAGGAGGUGCGAUGCCGAGCUCCGCUAAAGAACAAGUCCUGAGCGCAAUGGGGAGCCACAAAAUGGCUGAAAGCAGCAACAACAAAGACUUGGCUUUCUCACACCUGCUCCCACACGCUGGGCUGCCUGGAGAAAAGUUACCACAGCCACAGCCCGACCCGCGCUCUCUUGCCACAGACCUUUAGAAGACAGCUGCCUGUGUGAUGGACGGCAGUGUGUGGAAGAAAUUUGUGAGGCAGUGACUAGCCGGUGGAUUGCUGAAGCAAAAGGACACGGUACUUACUCUUCAAUAAGCAAAAUUGGUGGGGGAUGUGGUACAGAACGGCAACCAGGGACCUGCUUCUACCUGGC